UAUUAAACAUUCUAAAUAUAUUAGGAUCUUAAUUUACAUAAUAUAUCAAUUCUUAGAUUAUACUAACUACCCAUUAAUAGUACUCACUCGUUUCAUAAGUCUUCCAUGACUUGUAAAUAAUUCUAUUAACUAUUAACUAAUACAUUCUAUCAUAACAAUAGUCACUUUUAAACUCUUGAUCAUUUUGUCUUAGAAUUUAUUCUCAUAUAAGCUACGUGAGAUCAACACGAACCACAAAUUUUUUUUUUUU
This 250-nucleotide long non-coding RNA is filed under the name Jatropha curcas. RNAcentral describes it as "long non-coding RNA (JCUR_LNC003491)". Lineage: Eukaryota; Viridiplantae; Streptophyta; Magnoliopsida; Malpighiales; Euphorbiaceae. The record is from RNAcentral.